AUUGAACGCUGGCGGCAGGCCUAACACAUGCAAGUCGAGCGGUAGCACAGGAGAGCUUGCUCUCUGGGUGACGAGCGGCGGACGGGUGAGUAAUGUCUGGGAAACUGCCUGAUGGAGGGGGAUAACUACUGGAAACGGUAGCUAAUACCGCAUAACGUCUUCGGACCAAAGAGGGGGACCUUCGGGCCUCUUGCCAUCGGAUGUGCCCAGAUGGGAUUAGCUAGUAGGUGAGGUAAUGGCUCACCUAGGCGACGAUCCCUAGCUGGUCUGAGAGGAUGACCAGCCACACUGGAACUGAGACACGGUCCAGACUCCUACGGGAGGCAGCAGUGGGGAAUAUUGCACAAUGGGCGCAAGCCUGAUGCAGCCAUGCCGCGUGUGUGAAGAAGGCCUUCGGGUUGUAAAGCACUUUCAGCGGGGAGGAAGGCAGUAAGGUUAAUAACC
Molecule: ribosomal RNA, 444 nt
Filed under: Enterobacter sp.
Lineage: Bacteria; Pseudomonadati; Pseudomonadota; Gammaproteobacteria; Enterobacterales; Enterobacteriaceae
Description: bacterial SSU rRNA
Rfam family: Bacterial small subunit ribosomal RNA
Source: RNAcentral